UUCCUUGGUCACAGUCUUAGAGUUAAGAUUUAUUUUUGCUUCAUUUUAACAGAGAACGUGGUAUCUAGAUCACCAUGGAACCGAAGUCAUCACCACCAGGUAUCGGAGAAGGAUCCAGUGCUGUUGCCAACCGAAGAUCUUGGACAUGGGACUCAACUUAGUGUGAUGUUGGAUGAGGAUUUAGUAGACUUCAGUGCUAAUAAUACAAAUAGAUGAUGGAGUCGAUGGUGGAAUCUGUAAGGAAACAAUCACUGGAGCUGGAGGAGGAAAAAAAGGAUUCUGAUUUAAAACAGUCUUUGGAAGCACCACA
This is a long non-coding RNA of Raphanus sativus (radish), 310 nucleotides long. RefSeq lists it as uncharacterized. NCBI's taxonomy places the organism in Eukaryota, Viridiplantae, Streptophyta, Magnoliopsida, Brassicales, Brassicaceae. The record is from RefSeq and is a predicted model, not a curated record. The transcript has 2 exons.